RNAcentral lists this ribosomal RNA (452 nucleotides) under uncultured bacterium. Its description in RNAcentral is "SSU rRNA". It matches the Rfam family "Bacterial small subunit ribosomal RNA", at positions 26 to 523 of the family's 1533-position model. The record is from RNAcentral.
AGAGCGAACGCUGGCGGCAUGCUUAACACAUGCAAGUCUCACGGGCAGCAAUGUCAGUGGCGGACGGGUGAGUAACGCGUAGGUAUCUAUCCAUGGGUGGGGGAUAACGUCGGGAAACUGACGCUAAUACCGCAUGACAUCUGAGGAUCAAAGGCGCGAGUCGCCUGUGGAGGAGCCUGCGUACGAUUAGCUAGUUGGUGGGGUAAAGGCCUACCAAGGCGACGAUCGUUAGCUGGUCUGAGAGGAUGAUCAGCCACACUGGGACUGAGACACGGCCCAGACUCCUACGGGAGGCAGCAGUGGGGAAUAUUGGACAAUGGGCGAAAGCCUGAUCCAGCAAUGCCGCGUGUGUGAAGAAGGUCUUCGGAUUGUAAAGCACUUUCGGCGGGGACGAGUGAUGACGGUACCCGCAGAAGAAGCCCCGGCUAACUUCGUGCCAGCAGCCGCGGUAA